Molecule: non-coding RNA, 607 nt
Organism: Corylus avellana
Lineage: Eukaryota; Viridiplantae; Streptophyta; Magnoliopsida; Fagales; Betulaceae
Source: RefSeq, a predicted model, not a curated record
UUCACAGUGAUCCUGUGCUCGGGUUUUGGCUGCCUGGGAGUGCAUGGGACGACGUCGAGUGAGAGGGGUUUGAUCACCAUCACCCUUACUAGGGGAAAUUUCAUCCGGAGGCUUGGGUUUAUUAUCCAAUUGAAACGAGUAGCUCAACAGAUUAAGUCACUGGGGAAAUAGAUUGGGGAUGUCAGAAUCUUAAAUCAUCACUUCUUUCCUAGGUUUUCCAUAGAUUCUCCAUGCUGCAUAAUUUUAUAUAUUUGCUUUGUGUUUCCUAAUUGUCUUGCUGUAAGCUAAAAGGUUACUAUGUUUCAAGCUUUUCUUGGCUUUCUCAUUGAUUUUUGUUUCGUUUCAGCUCUUGUUGUUGGAGUGAAGUCUUGGAUUCGAGUUUAUAGAUUUGAUUUUAUCUGUCUUUUUAGUUUUCUGCUUUGAGUCCUAGCCAGCUACGGUAGUGAUUACUAUGUGUAACAGGUGCCCGUUUUGGUUUAUAGGGAUUUCUAAAUUCAUAUUCAAUGUUCACAAGUGUUUAUCGCUAGGCACACAUUCAGAUUUGACGAACAUUACAGUGUUGCUCCUCAUUUAUGAUUCUAUUCUAGUCAGUUACAACGUUUUUCUC